AGCGUAGGUGGCUCUAUAAGUCAGAUGUGAAAUCCCCGGGCUCAACCUGGGAACUGCAUCUGAAACUGUAGAGCUAGAGUAUGGAAGAGGUAAGUGGAAUUCCGAGUGUAGAGGUGAAAUUCGUAGAUAUUCGGAGGAACACCAGUGGCGAAGGCGGCUUACUGGUCCAUUACUGACGCUGAGGUGCGAAAGCGUGGGGAGCAAACA
RNAcentral lists this ribosomal RNA (207 nucleotides) under uncultured bacterium. RNAcentral describes it as "partial 16S ribosomal RNA". It matches the Rfam family "Bacterial small subunit ribosomal RNA", at positions 568 to 774 of the family's 1533-position model. The record is from RNAcentral.